Molecule: non-coding RNA, 27 nt
Filed under: Drosophila melanogaster (fruit fly)
Lineage: Eukaryota; Metazoa; Arthropoda; Insecta; Diptera; Drosophilidae
Source: RNAcentral
UCCGGAGUAUUGAUCUGAGCCUCAAAU